This is a long non-coding RNA of Mercenaria mercenaria, 1385 nucleotides long. RefSeq lists it as uncharacterized. The transcript has 2 exons. The record is from RefSeq and is a predicted model, not a curated record. NCBI's taxonomy places the organism in Eukaryota, Metazoa, Mollusca, Bivalvia, Venerida, Veneridae.
UUUCACACUUUUGUGAGAAGCGGCAGGCUAAAAAUAGCCUGAGCUGUCAUUUCUCAAGGCUGGAUAGUGAAAUACAGUAACUGUUAUAUAAUUAUAUUCAAAUUGUAAUUUUUAUUCAUAUUCAAAUAUAUAAUUAUACAGCCUGAAAAUCCCAGGGUAUCUUUUACAGAAAAAAAAAAUUAAAAAAAUAUAAAAGGGUACUGUAAAGGUUAAAAAGAUCUGUAGUGGGUAAUCAGGGGUGGUAUAGUACGUCAUCAAAAGGUGCGCGCAACACUUCCCGAUGCGGCUUUUUUAUGUCAAAAUACUUCGAUUCGAUCACAACAGAAACACCUGAGAUAUUCUGUUUAUCAGAAUUAAAUUAUGAAGCUAAACACUUGGGGGUCAGCAGUAUGAUAUCCGUAGACAGAUGAACAUAAACUGCAUAUAGUAAUUCAUGCAUUUCUCGGAAAUAAAAUGACACGUCAAAAAAUCAGACUUGUAGAAAGGACAAUACCCGCUUGUUGUGGAUGUUUGUGAAAAAGUCAGAAAUGAAGACCACAAAAGUAGUCGUUGUUUGAGGUUCACACACUGGCAAUAUGUGCAGACACCGUUCAAAACAGUUCACUGUUACGUGUGACCACUACCGUACAAUAUCUAGCCAUGAACAGCUUUUGUAGACGGAAUUUAAUGUGAUUUUACGCGACUUCAAACAAUUGUGAUUUUUAUUGAAACAUUUUUUGUUUUGUCUGUCUGUGUUGAAGUCACAGAGUCUUGUCAGUACCUCUCCUUUCUUCUAAAUAACAUUUGACAGAUUUUGAUGAAAGGCAACAGCAGUAAUAAACUUUGUUUGAAAUGUAGUUGACACUAAUGCUCAUUACGGGUAAAACACAACAAUGUAAAUAUUCUUGUUAUCUUUAUGUUUCGGUCAAUAAACGUUCACGAAUUAUACUACAUUGCCACUUUAUCAAUUUUUGUGUGUUUUUAAUGAAAUUUCUGAGUUAUAAUUAGUGUAGUUGCGCAAAACCACAACAUUUUCCAGUUUAAUGGUUUCAAGAGUUAUUAUAUUCUGAUUUAUGUUGAUUUUGAAGUACAGGCAGUGCAUCUCCACUUCAACCUUUUUAUAAUUUUCAUAAUUACAAAAACAUGUACAUGGUGUAUAUCAUGGCAAUAACUGGUUUUAAUGAUAACUUAUCAAUUACAUUCAGAGCUUUCUUUUCCGUGUAAUUCCUUCCUCUGUAGAUGUUGACAUAUUCUUUGACAUUUUUUCCACAGAAAGCUGCUGUCGUCUAUUCAGAAUGUGGAUGAAAACAAAGGCCAUUUAAAAUAAAACACCUUUAAUUUCAUAAUAAGAAGUUGUUGAGGAUAUUGUGCGUUUUAGAAUAUGUGAUAAUAAAUUACCAAUAGUC